Molecule: ribosomal RNA, 253 nt
Filed under: uncultured bacterium
Lineage: Bacteria
Description: partial 16S ribosomal RNA
Rfam family: Bacterial small subunit ribosomal RNA
Source: RNAcentral
UACAGAGGGGGCGAGCGUUGUUCGGAAUUACUGGGCGUAAAGGGCGCGUAGGUGGCCUUCUAAGUUGAACGUGAAAUCCCUGGGCUCAACCCAGGAACUGCGUCCAAGACUGGGAGGCUUGAAUCCGGGAGAGGGAUGCGGAAUUCCAGGUGUAGCGGUGAAAUGCGUAGAUAUCUGGAGGAACACCGGUGGCGAAGGCGGCAUCCUGGACCGGUAUUGACACUGAGGCGCGAAAGCCAGGGGAGCAAACGGG